CUACGGGCGGCAGCAGUGAGGAAUAUUGCACAAUGGGGGGAACCCUGAUGCAGCAACGCCGCGUGGAGGAUGACGCAUUUCGGUGUGUAAACUCCUUUUAUAUGUCAAGAAAAUGACGGUAGCAUAUGAAUAAGCACCGGCUAAUUCCGUGCCAGCAGCCGCGGUAAUACGGAGGGUGCAAGCGUUACUCGGAAUCACUGGGCGUAAAGGACGCGUAGGCGGGUUGGAAAGUCAGGUGUGAAAUCCUACAGCUUAACUGUAGAACUGCACUUGAAACUUCUAAUCUAGAGUAUGGGAGGGGGAGAUGGAAUUAGUGGUGUAGGGGUAAGAUCCGUAGAUAUCACUAGGAAUACCUAAAGCGAAGGCGAUCUCCUGGAACAUUACUGACGCUAAGGCGUGAAAGCGUGGGGAGCAAACAGGAUUAGAUACCCCGGUAGUC
This 439-nucleotide ribosomal RNA is filed under the name uncultured bacterium. Its description in RNAcentral is "partial 16S ribosomal RNA". It matches the Rfam family "Bacterial small subunit ribosomal RNA", at positions 339 to 795 of the family's 1533-position model. The record is from RNAcentral.